GUGAAAUCAAUUCAGAAAAAUUCUGGUGUCGGAACCCUACCACUUGCAUUCUCAAGCUAGGCCUCAACCCAGCCUCAAAUCUCUUACACCGGUCUCUGGGGGCGGUGACUAAGCUUCCAGCAUAAUGGCUUAGCCUUGAAAAAUCCCGCUCAUAUUCUGCUACAGUUCUAUCACCUUGCUUUAAACUUAAAAACUCUUGCAGCUUCAUGUCUACAUAAGUAUUGGGGACCCACUUUUGUCGAAAUUCCCUUAAAAAGUCUGCCCAUGUGAGGACUGGUGGCUGUACCAGACUGUAGGGGAUGGUCUUCCACCACUCAUAUGCAUCUCCAUGCAGUAGGGAAACUGAGUAUUCGAACUUCAGAUCAUUUAUCCUGUGUAAUUUCUUGAAUAUCCUCUCCAUUCUCUCAAGCUAUUAUUCUGCUUCCAAUGGAUCUACUGUACCCUUGAACUUUAUUGCCCCAUACUUCAUUAACUUUUCAUACUGUAUGGCUGGGGGUGGUGGUUGCACUGGAGGUGCUUUUAUUGGAGCUUGGAUAGGUAUAUUGCCAGCCAUUUCUUGAAAUAGUGUAGCCAUCUGCUAAGUGAACUGAGCAGAAAACUGCAUGGGCAGGAAGAGUGCAACUGACUCACUGGAAUUUUGAGGAACUGGGGCCUCCCCCUGUAACUCAGCUACUACAGAUUGCUCUACGGUGUGAUCCCCCUCUUCCAUGAUGAAUCAUAAAGAAUUUUACUCCCUGAACAACUAACACAAGGAGGUUUCCCUCACUUAGUCCAUAUUCAUGAUGUAAUGCACUAUAUGUAUCAAUUAAUGAUAAUUGAGCAGUUGUACUUAUCAAAAUAUUUUAAAUAUGAAAUUAAAAAGUUGUAUGAAAACCAAAGCUCUGAUACUACUAAAACAUAUCACACCUUAUCCCUUGUAAGGCAUG
This 926-nucleotide unclassified non-coding RNA is filed under the name Hevea brasiliensis (rubber tree). The record is from RNAcentral. Lineage: Eukaryota; Viridiplantae; Streptophyta; Magnoliopsida; Malpighiales; Euphorbiaceae.